Molecule: small nucleolar RNA, 169 nt
Filed under: Drosophila mojavensis
Lineage: Eukaryota; Metazoa; Arthropoda; Insecta; Diptera; Drosophilidae
Description: snoRNA:GI25381
Source: RNAcentral
GGUGCGCCUGGCCUAAAAAGCAUUCGCGCUGUGAUUUGUCGAUGCACAGUUUAUGGAUGCAACGUCGUAGAUUAAAUUGCCCUUCGGGUGGCGAUGCUUGAUAUAUUCCAGUAACGGUGCGCAGCCGUUCAGGCGAUGAGCGCGCGGUUAAACCAUAUCACGCACAGUC